CUCAAAAAGCCGGUCUCAGUUCGGAUUGGGGUCUGCAACUCGACCCCAUGAAGUCGGAGUCGCUAGUAAUCGCAAAUCAGCAUUGCUGCGGUGAAUACGUUCCCGGGCCUUGUACACACCGCCCGUCACGUCACGAAAGUCGGUAACACCCGAAGCCGGUGGCCCAACCCCUUGUGGGAGGGAGCUGUCGAAGGUGGGACUGGCGAUUGGGACGAAGUCGUAACAAGGUAGCCGUACCGGAAGGUGCGGUUGGAUCACCU
This 260-nucleotide ribosomal RNA is filed under the name Streptomyces sp. 2SIE. RNAcentral describes it as "partial 16S ribosomal RNA". It matches the Rfam family "Bacterial small subunit ribosomal RNA", at positions 1273 to 1528 of the family's 1533-position model. The record is from RNAcentral. Lineage: Bacteria; Bacillati; Actinomycetota; Actinomycetes; Kitasatosporales; Streptomycetaceae.